This 492-nucleotide ribosomal RNA is filed under the name uncultured bacterium. RNAcentral's name for it is "partial 16S ribosomal RNA". It matches the Rfam family "Bacterial small subunit ribosomal RNA", at positions 29 to 507 of the family's 1533-position model. The record is from RNAcentral.
AGUGAACGCUGGCGGUAGGCCUAACACAUGCAAGUCGAACGGCAGCACAGUAAGAGCUUGCUCUUACGGGUGGCGAGUGGCGGACGGGUGAGGAAUACAUCGGAAUCUACUUUUUCGUGGGGGAUAACGGAGGGAAACUUACGCUAAUACCGCAUACGACCUACGGGUGAAAGCAGGGGAGCUUCGGACCUUGCGCGAUUGAAUGAGCCGAUGUCGGAUUAGCUAGUUGGGGGGGUAAGGGCCCACCAAGGCGACGAUCCGUAGCCGGUCUGAGAGGAUGAUCGGCCACACUGGAACUGAGACACGGUCCAGACUCCUACGGGAGGCAGCAGUGGGGAAUAUUGGACAAUGGGCGAAAGCCUGAUCCAGCCAUACCGCGUGGGUGAAGAAGGCCUUCGGAUUGUAAAGCCCUUUUGUUGGGAAAGAAAAGCAGCAGGUUAAUACCCCGCUGUUCUGACGGUACCCAAAGAAUAAGCACCGGCUAACUUCGUG